AGAGAGGAAGAGAGGAAAGGAGGGAGAGAAACAUCAAUAAGUUGCUUCUACACUCUCAACCUACCUGUGAUGAACCUGCAACCCAGGUUGAUCUUGGGUACAGCUACCUUGCUGAACAUCCUUGCUGAUUCCGUUCACUUUUCCGAAUAGAUGAUUAAAUCAUCUGUAAAUCA
This is a long non-coding RNA of Artibeus jamaicensis (Jamaican fruit-eating bat), 173 nucleotides long. RefSeq lists it as uncharacterized. The transcript has 2 exons. The record is from RefSeq and is a predicted model, not a curated record. Lineage: Eukaryota; Metazoa; Chordata; Mammalia; Chiroptera; Phyllostomidae.